RNAcentral lists this unclassified non-coding RNA (367 nucleotides) under Agaricus flavicentrus. Its description in RNAcentral is "partial internal transcribed spacer region". The stretch from base 1 to 46 matches the Rfam family "Eukaryotic small subunit ribosomal RNA", at positions 1786 to 1831 of the family's 1831-position model. The record is from RNAcentral. Lineage: Eukaryota; Fungi; Basidiomycota; Agaricomycetes; Agaricales; Agaricaceae.
AAGUCGUAACAAGGUUUCCGUAGGUGAACCUGCGGAAGGAUCAUUAUUGAAUUAUGUUUCUAGACGGGUUGUCGCUGGCUCUUUGGAGCAUGUGCACGCCUGUUUAGAUUUCAUUUUCAUCCACCUGUGCACCUAUUGUAGUCUUUGGUUGGGUAAGGAGGAAGUGGUCAACCUAUCAGCAUUUGCUGGAUUUGAGGAGUCUGCAGUGUGAAAACAUUGCUGUCCUCAACUUGGCCAUGGAGUCUUUUGCCUGCCAGAGUCUAUGUCAAUCAUUAUACUCUAUUGAAUGUCAUUGAAUGUCUUUACAUGGGCUUGUAUGCCUAUGAAAAUUGUAAUACAACUUUCAGCAACAGAUCUCUUGGCUCUC